This is a long non-coding RNA of Oncorhynchus mykiss (rainbow trout), 1839 nucleotides long. The record is from Ensembl. NCBI's taxonomy places the organism in Eukaryota, Metazoa, Chordata, Actinopteri, Salmoniformes, Salmonidae.
ACAGAGAUAGAUUCUGAGUUACAGUAUACAGUAGUUAAAAGGGUAGACAGAGAGAUAGAUUCUGAGUUACAGUAUACAGUAGUUAAAAGGGUAGACAGAGAGAUAGAUUCUGAGUUACAGUAUACAGUAGUUAAAAGGGUAGACAGAGAGAUAGAUUCUGAGUUACAGUAUACAGUAGUUAAAAGGGUAGACAGAGAGAUAGAUUCUGAGUUACAGUAUACAGUAGUUAAAAGGGUAGACAGAGAGAUAGAUUCUGAGUUACAGUAUACAGUAGUUAAAAGGGUAGACAGAGAGAUAGAUUCUGAGUUACAGUAUACAGUAGUUAAAAGGGUAGACAGAGAGAUAGAUUCUGAGUUACAGUAUACAGUAGUUAAAAGGGUAGACAGAGAGAUAGAUUCUGAGUUACAGUAUACAGUAGUUAAAAGGGUAGACAGAGAGAUAGAUUCUGAGUUACAGUAUACAGUAGUUAAAAGGGUAGACAGAGAGAUAGAUUCUGAGUUACAGUAUACAGUAGUUAAAAGGGUAGACAGAGAGAUAGAUUCUGAGUUACAGUAUACAGUAGUUAAAAGGGUAGACAGAGAGAUAGAUUCUGAGUUACAGUAUACAGUAGUUAAAAGGGUAGACAGAGAGAUAGAUUCUGAGUUACAGUAUACAGUAGUUAAAAGGGUAGACAGAGAGAUAGAUUCUGAGUUACAGUAUACAGUAGUUAAAAGGGUAGACAGAGAGAUAGAUUCUGAGUUACAGUAUACAGUAGUUAAAAGGGUAGACAGAGAGAUAGAUUCUGAGUUACAGUAUACAGUAGUUAAAAGGGUAGACAGAGAGAUAGAUUCUGAGUUACAGUAUACAGUAGUUAAAAGGGUAGACAGAGAGAUAGAUUCUGAGUUACAGUAUACAGUAGUUAAAAGGGUAGACAGAGAGAUAGAUUCUGAGUUACAGUAUACAGUAGUUAAAAGGGUAGACAGAGAGAUAGAUUCUGAGUUACAGUAUACAGUAGUUAAAAGGGUAGACAGAGAGAUAGAUUCUGAGUUACAGUAUACAGUAGUUAAAAGGGUAGACAGAGAGAUAGAUUCUGAGUUACAGUAUACAGUAGUUAAAAGGGUAGACAGAGAGAUAGAUUCUGAGUUACAGUAUACAGUAGUUAAAAGGGUAGACAGAGAGAUAGAUUCUGAGUUACAGUAUACAGUAGUUAAAAGGGUAGACAGAGAGAUAGAUUCUGAGUUACAGUAUACAGUAGUUAAAAGGGUAGACAGAGAGAUAGAUUCUGAGUUACAGUAUACAGUAGUUAAAAGGGUAGACAGAGAGAUAGAUUCUGAGUUACAGUAUACAGUAGUUAAAAGGGUAGACAGAGAGAUAGAUUCUGAGUUACAGUAUACAGUAGUUAAAAGGGUAGACAGAGAGAUAGAUUCUGAGUUACAGUAUACAGUAGUUAAAAGGGUAGACAGAGAGAUAGAUUCUGAGUUACAGUAUACAGUAGUUAAAAGGGUAGACAGAGAGAUAGAUUCUGAGUUACAGUAUACAGUAGUUAAAAGGGUAGACAGAGAGAUAGAUUCUGAGUUACAGUAUACAGUAGUUAAAAGGGUAGACAGAGAGAUAGAUUCUGAGUUACAGUAUACAGUAGUUAAAAGGGUAGACAGAGAGAUAGAUUCUGAGUUACAGUAUACAGUAGUUAAAAGGGUAGACAGAGAGAUAGAUUCUGAGUUACAGUAUACAGUAGUUAAAAGGGUAGACAGAGAGAUAGAUUCUGAGUUACAGUAUACUGUAGUUAAAAGGGUAGACAGAGAGAUAGAUUCUGAGUUACAGUAUACAGUAGUUAAAAGGGUAGACAGAGAUAGAUUCUGA